This 253-nucleotide ribosomal RNA is filed under the name uncultured bacterium. RNAcentral's name for it is "partial 16S ribosomal RNA". It matches the Rfam family "Bacterial small subunit ribosomal RNA", at positions 524 to 776 of the family's 1533-position model. The record is from RNAcentral.
UACAGAGGUCCCGAGCGUUGUUCGGAUUCAUUGGGCGUAAAGGGUGCGUAGGCGGCGGGGCAAGUCUGAUGUGAAAUCCUGGGGCUCAACCUCAGAACUGCAUUGGAUACUGCCUUGCUAGAGUACUGGAGAGGGAACUGGAAUUUACGGUGUAGCAGUGAAAUGCGUAGAGAUCGUAAGGAAGGCCAGUGGCGAAGGCGAGUUCCUGGACAGUUACUGACGCUGAGGCACGAAGGCCAGGGGAGCAAGCGGG